UACAGAGGAUGCAAGCGUUAUCCGGAAUGAUUGGGCGUAAAGCGUCUGUAGGUGGCUUUUUAAGUCCGCCGUCAAAUCCCAGGGCUCAACUCUGGACAGGCGGUGGAAACUACCAAGCUGGAGUACGGUAGGGGCAGAGGGAAUUUCCGGUGGAGCGGUGAAAUGCGUAGAGAUCGGAAAGAACACCGGUGGCGAAGGCGGCUCACUGGACCGAGACUGACGCUGAGGCGCGAAAGCGUGGGGAGCAAACAGG
RNAcentral lists this ribosomal RNA (253 nucleotides) under uncultured bacterium. RNAcentral describes it as "partial 16S ribosomal RNA". It matches the Rfam family "Bacterial small subunit ribosomal RNA", at positions 524 to 776 of the family's 1533-position model. The record is from RNAcentral.